This 253-nucleotide ribosomal RNA is filed under the name uncultured bacterium. Its description in RNAcentral is "partial 16S ribosomal RNA". It matches the Rfam family "Bacterial small subunit ribosomal RNA", at positions 524 to 776 of the family's 1533-position model. The record is from RNAcentral.
UACGUAGGGUGCGAGCGUUAAUCGGAAUUACUGGGCGUAAAGCGUGCGCAGGCGGUUCGUUGUGUCGGUGGUGAAAUCCCCGGGCUUAACCUGGGAAUGGCCAUGGAAACUGGCGGACUGGAGUGUGGCAGAGGGGGGUGGAAUUCCGCGUGUAGCAGUGAAAUGCGUAGAGAUGCGGAGGAACACCGAUGGCGAAGGCAGCCCCCUGGGCUAGCACUGACGCUCAGGCACGAAAGCGUGGGGAGCAAACAGG